This 240-nucleotide unclassified non-coding RNA is filed under the name soil metagenome. RNAcentral's name for it is "partial contains 5.8S ribosomal RNA, internal transcribed spacer 2, and large subunit ribosomal RNA". The record is from RNAcentral.
AACGGUCUAUACCUGCGGUACCUGCGGAGGGAUCAUUAAUGAGAAACUGCCCCUCGCGGGUAGAUCUCCCACCCUUUGUAAACUUACCUUUGUUGCUUUGGCAGGCCCGUCUCCGGACCGCCGGCUUCGGCUGGCCAGUGCCUGCCAGAGGAUUCUAAAACUCUGUCUGUCAGUGUUGUCUGAGUCUAUAUACAAUCGUUAAAACUUUUAGCAACGGAUCUCUAGAUCGGAAGAGCACAC